UACAGAGGGUGCAAGCGUUGUUCGGAAUUAUUGGGCGUAAAGAGCUCGUAGGCGGUUUGGUAAGUCGGGUGUGAAAACUCUGGGCUCAACCCAGAGAGGCCACUCGAUACUGCUAUGACUUGAGUACGGUAGGGGAGUGGGGAAUUUCUAGUGUAGCGGUGAAAUGCGCAGAUAUUAGAAGGAACACCAGUGGCGAAGGCGCCACUCUGGGCCGUAACUGACGCUGAGGAGCGAAAGCAUGGGUAGCAAACAGG
This 254-nucleotide ribosomal RNA is filed under the name uncultured bacterium. RNAcentral describes it as "partial 16S ribosomal RNA". It matches the Rfam family "Bacterial small subunit ribosomal RNA", at positions 524 to 776 of the family's 1533-position model. The record is from RNAcentral.